AGAUUUUAUUUAUUUGAGAGAAGAGAGAGAGAGUGCAUGAGAGCAAGCCUAAACCACAGUAUGAAAAAGCUAUGCAGAACAUACCUGAAGCCAGCUGACUGACUGCCUACCUGCCAUUCAUAGAACAGGGAAGAACGUCUGCGUGCUUCAAGGACACAUAUUUUAAAGUCAGAGUGCCUCAUAGGAGGACCAAGUGGGGAGUCUCUGAAUAGGAAAUUGCCAGGCUCUUUCUCAGACAGCACUUUUAUGCAGAUCCUUUCUGCAUGUACUUACUCAAGAGAGGAUGCGAUAAUUCUUCGAGGAGGACUGCUGGCUGCACAUGGGGUGAAGCCACCCUUUGAACAUCUGCACUUCCCAUAUGCUCUUCCCCUGAAAGUGCUGCGCUCCGGGCUAGUGCCAAUCAGCCCACACGGUGCUAAUCAGGGCACAGUGGUGGCGAAGCAUGUGCACCCAAUUAAGGGCCCUGCAGCCUGCUCUCCCGUCAUGGCCCUUGGCAGUGUGACCUCACGCACUCGGAGCCUUGCACACACAAUCUGGCAGAGGUGAGGGCUCGGCUGUAUGCCGCUGUUCUUACCUCCAUCCCCUUCACCUUCAGCCUGCCCCUCAGAAGCCUCACCUGUCAGAAUGCUGAGCGGGAGCUUCGAAAAGGUGAACUGGGACCAUGAUGACUAACAGGUGCCGCAUUGCUGACAUGAGCACAAUUUCGGGACUUUUAAAAAAAUAAAUUUUACUCAGUCCAAGUUACUGGGAAGGUGGAUUUAAUGAAGUGGAGCGGCAUGAAUAUUGACAUUUUAGCUCACAUUAAACCUGCAUGUACCCUGA
Canis lupus familiaris (dog) is the source of this 822-nucleotide long non-coding RNA. RefSeq lists it as uncharacterized. The transcript is spliced from 3 exons. The record is from RefSeq and is a predicted model, not a curated record. NCBI's taxonomy places the organism in Eukaryota, Metazoa, Chordata, Mammalia, Carnivora, Canidae.